CCGAGUUCUCGGGCUUCGGCUCGAAUCUCCCACCCUUUGUGAACAUACCUCUGUUGCUUUGGCGGCUCUUUGCCGCGAGGAGCUACAACUUCUCGCGCGCUUUCCGCCAGAGGACCUUCAAACUCCAGUCAGUGAACGUCGACGUCUGAUAAACAAGUUAAUAAACUA
Molecule: unclassified non-coding RNA, 168 nt
Filed under: uncultured Diplodia
Lineage: Eukaryota; Fungi; Ascomycota; Dothideomycetes; Botryosphaeriales; Botryosphaeriaceae
Description: sequence contains ITS1
Source: RNAcentral